RNAcentral lists this ribosomal RNA (549 nucleotides) under uncultured Glomus. RNAcentral describes it as "SSU rRNA". It matches the Rfam family "Eukaryotic small subunit ribosomal RNA", at positions 548 to 1098 of the family's 1831-position model. Lineage: Eukaryota; Fungi; Glomeromycota; Glomeromycetes; Glomerales; Glomeraceae. The record is from RNAcentral.
UUGGAGGGCAAGUCUGGUGCCAGCAGCCGCGGUAAUUCCAGCUCCAAUAGCGUAUAUUAAAGUUGUUGCAGUUAAAAAGCUCGUAGUUGAAUUUCGGGAUCAAAUAAUCGGUCGUGCCUCCGGUACGUACUGGUUUUAUUGGUUCCUCCCUUCUGACAAACCAUGAUGUCAUUAAUUUGAUGUGGUGGAGAAUCAGGACUGUUACCUUGAAAAAAUUAGAGUGUUUAAAGCAGGCUAACGCUUGAAUACAUUAGCAUGGAAUAAUGAAAUAGGACGUUCGACCCUAUUUUGUUGGUUUCUAGGAUCGACGUAAUGAUUAAUAGGGAUAGUUGGGGGCAUUAGUAUUCAAUUGUCAGAGGUGAAAUUCUUGGAUUUAUUGAAGACUAACUACUGCGAAAGCAUUUGCCAAGGAUGUUUUCAUUAAUCAAGAACGAAAGUUAGGGGAUCGAAGACGAUCAGAUACCGUCGUAGUCUUAACCAUAAACUAUGCCGACUAGGGAUCGGAUGAUGUUAAUUUUUUAAUGACUCAUUCGGCGCCUUACGGGAAAC